CUCUUCAGGCUCCUUGGAGGCAAGGCGGGAGCUGCGGCGAGCCUUGAAAGAGUCCUAACAUUCACUUCCUGCCGAGCAUCGUACUGCUGACAUUGUCACAACUGUCAAUUACACGCAUUUUACAUUCAGUUUUUACCAAGAAUCAUGUUGCUGCAUAUCCGACGAGAUUGAUCGGCCGAUGGAUGCGAGGCUGAUGGGUGCCAUUGCUUGGUUGUGUGCAGGUGGUGCGCACCAAGGUGUUCGAGAUGGCGCCGCUGACGGUGGACGAGGCGCUGGAGCAGCUCGAGAACGUCGACCACGAUUUCUACGCCUUUAGGAAUGAGCAGACAGGGGAGGUGAACAUCCUGUACAAGAGGAAGGAGGGAGGCUUCGGGCUCAUCAUCCCCAAGCAGGACGGCCACGUUGACAAGGAGACCGUCGCCAAGGCGAACGGCAAGGAGCAAUCCAUCGCCGGCUGACUUGACCGUUUCGCCUCGCUAAGUCACUAGCUGUAGCUUUGUAGUUCGUCUGUUUUCCUCUCUGAUGGAUGGAUGGAUGUCUGUCGGCUGCUGAUGUUUCCAUCAGACAAAAUGUCCAAGUGAAACCGAGACCUUGUGCUGUGCAAGUUUAACAUUUCUGUUAUGAUCCCCCACCACUUUCUAA
Lolium rigidum is the source of this 642-nucleotide long non-coding RNA. RefSeq lists it as uncharacterized. The transcript has 2 exons. NCBI's taxonomy places the organism in Eukaryota, Viridiplantae, Streptophyta, Magnoliopsida, Poales, Poaceae. The record is from RefSeq and is a predicted model, not a curated record.